Molecule: long non-coding RNA, 595 nt
Organism: Tigriopus californicus
Lineage: Eukaryota; Metazoa; Arthropoda; Copepoda; Harpacticoida; Harpacticidae
Exons: 2
Source: RefSeq, a predicted model, not a curated record
UACUUCAAUAACCAGCGUGUAUCACAACCUGUUAACAACUACAUGGUGGCAGCGGUGGUGCCUGGUUGAAUAGUGUCCGAUCAAAGUCGUGUCCAGGCUUGUUCAAUAAUGACGGAAUCGGGGGAACGCAAAGCCGAGAUGGCAAUAGGCAGUUCAAGCAACGGUGUGUGGAUAUCGCCUGUCCCGAAGAGGUCUGAGGGCAAGUUGGUGGAUUACGCGAAGUACUUUGAUCGCGUGUCAAAGGCUAAUGGUUGGACGGAUCAGGAAGCAGGGAGAAUAUUUCCGGGACUUCGAGAGCUGAGCAACGUCCUUUCCAGAUCACCUUCCGGUCUGACAAUUUUGAACACGUGGACGAGACAAAAACGAAAGUUAACCAAGGAUUUCGCCUAGCUUUUUCCCAACAAAGUUGCUGAGCGAAAAACUGGCCUGAAUUUGAUGAAUGUCUGAGGAAUGAUUAACCAAUGUUAACUUCACCAAAUAAUUGUUUCAUCUGAAUUUUACUUUGUUGACGAUGUAAACAUAUUUUUUAACUUAUUUCAUAUCCUAAUAAGCAUCAUUGAUAACGAAUAAAACCAAAUUUAGUUUCUUGAGUGCA